This 406-nucleotide ribosomal RNA is filed under the name uncultured bacterium. RNAcentral describes it as "partial 16S ribosomal RNA". It matches the Rfam family "Bacterial small subunit ribosomal RNA", at positions 30 to 526 of the family's 1533-position model. The record is from RNAcentral.
AUUGAACGCUGGCGGCAUGCCUAACACAUGCAAGUCGAACGAGUGGCGGACGGGUUAGUAAUAUCUGGGAAACUGCCUGAUGGAGUGGGAUAACUACUGGAAACGGUAGCUAAUACCGCAUACCAUCUGAUGUGCCCAGAUUGUAUUAGCUAGUAGGUGGGGUAACGGAUCACCUAGGCGACGAUCCCUAGCUGGUCUGAGAGGAUGACCAGCAAAACUGGAACUGAGACACGGUCCAGACUCCUACGGGAGGCAGCAGUGGGGAAUAUUGCACAAUGGGCGCAAGCCUGAUGCAGCCAUGCCGCGUGUAUGAAGAAGGCCUUCGGGUUGUAAAGUACUUUCAGCGGGGAGGCGUUACCCGCAGAAGAAGCACCGGCUAACUCCGUGCCAGCAGCCGCGGUAAUUC